This 3001-nucleotide long non-coding RNA is filed under the name Zostera marina. RNAcentral describes it as "long non-coding RNA (ZMAR_LNC004857)". Lineage: Eukaryota; Viridiplantae; Streptophyta; Magnoliopsida; Alismatales; Zosteraceae. The record is from RNAcentral.
CGACCUCAUUAUUGCUACGGUAAAUGCUCGGGUCAAGGCCACCGUAAAGGGACGAUCCAGACAUGCCAUAAUUACCUCCACCUAGGUUGGACAUUGAAUAGCUAGUUUCUCCAACCGAAGGAUAAAUGUAAUGGGCAGUUGGAUCCAUCAUACCAGUGUAAUCAUUUCCAUAACCAUUACAGUUUCUUCCGAUCGGUAUAGCAUAUCUAUCGUUGUCUAUUCCGAGACCAUUACCACUAGAACUACCACCAUUGAUAUCCAUAGGCAUCCAUUUAUUUGGCGGUUGUCUUUGUUGUUGUGGUUGAUGUGCCUGUUGCGGUUGUUGCGUCUGCUGUGAUGGGGAGUUAUUUGAUCUCUCUCUUUCUGACUCUCGAUACUUCUCCAGAUAAAUCUAAUGGAACAAAAUACAUUCGAAAAGAGAUUUAAUUAAGAUAACGUCUGAUAGUUUGUGAAAUAUUUUGUUAAUUGUGAUCAAAUGAGACGAACCUUUAGAGGAAUAGUAUAUGAAUCAAAGUCGAGACGGUACAUGGACCAAAGAAGGUCAUCGCCGUUGAUAGUUUUACGUUUCUCACUGUGACACUUUUCAGACGCUUCGCCGGUGAUAAAACUAACAAACUCCGAUACACAUUCUUGAAUCGUUUCUUUGGCUUCUUUCGAGAUCUUGGCAUUUAUCGGUAAAGCUCUCUUCAUGAUCCGGCUCACAUUUGUUAUUGGAAGAAAUCGAUCAUUUCGGGAUGCAUCCCUUCCGGGAUUACUAUUAGAUGAACUCCCGACCAUUGAGUUAUUGGUUGCAAGCCCUCUUCAAUUCCGUUGUUCACGCCUUCAGAUGUUUCUCUGACCAUGUUUGUGAAAAGGAUUUAUAAGAAUGUUUAAGCCUAUUCCCAAAAUUCUUGUCCAACCAUAAAAUAGAAAUUUCAAUGUCCUCUGGCCACCAAUAGAUUUUUUUUAGCUAUCAAUAGUUUUCUUUAGCUAUCAACCACCUAAUUUUGAUGCAAUAUAGAUAUUAUUGACUAAUAAUCCAAAUUAUGUACUUGGUCGACACUAAUGUGUCAAACGAGCCGAGCUUUGGCAUAUUGAACCGGAUUCGGGCUCAACUCGUUAAGGAGUAAUCCAGGUUCGAACUCGCCGAGCCUGGUUUAGCCGAGCUCGUUAAUGAUUUGCCGAUACCGAGCCCUAGCCCGAGCCAAAGCCGAACUCAUCUAGUCGAAAUUUAUUUGACACCCUAGUUGACACUAAUCAUUUUGUCCAAUGUCUAUUAUGAAAUUCGGUCAUAUUUUCCGAGGCGGGUAUCGUGGCAAGACAUUCUCGAGUUUGGCCCAAUCUUCAUAGACCUAGAUUCACUCGAAACUCGAAAUUUUCUACGAAAAAACCGUCUUAAAAUAUAAAUAAAAUUAAUUUAACCAAUUACCCUCUAAUUAAUUUAAUUUCAUCAAUUAACCCAUUUUUAAUUUAUCUAAUUUACCCCUGCUUAUUUUUUUAGGGCAGGUUUUCUAUACUAAUUAAAAAAUAAAAUUUUGGCAUAACCUAUUCAUAUCGAUUAUAAAAACUUAUAAAAAUUCAAUACAUUCAUUCUAUACAAUAAUUAAUAUUCAAAUUAAAAAUAAACACAUUUAUUUAAUUAACAAUACAAAUUUCCAGAAAAUUAAUGAUUAUUUCAAUGUCCUACGACGAGGACACAUAUCAUUAAAUAUUUUUAAAAUGACUUCAUUGUCUAUAUUUUUAAAAACAGUUUUUUGAAUAUAUGUUAAUAAACAAUCAUUUAUCAAACUAUCACCAAAUUUAUAUAUUAAAUUUAUUUUAAUAUAUAAAAUAUAAAAUAUUUUAAUAUAUUAAAUAUUGAGAGGGGUAGAGGGAGUGGGGAAGAGAAUAUAUUAAAUAUUGUGAAAUUUUGUAUAUUAACCCUUGAAAAAUAUUAAUAUAUUGUGAAAAUUGCAUUUAACCCUCUAUAAAAAAUUUAUUACAUACAAAUCCUUAUUUUUCCCCCUAAAUUUCAAGGGGGCAAUUAUCCUUUUUUGCCACCCCUGGCUACGCCACUGCGCACCGACGUACGGCGCAUCUGAAAAUUAAAGUAUUUUUUUAUACCAUUUCCUUAAUACCAUUUGUUUUAACCUAGUCACCCAAUCCAUUGAUCCAAUUUGAGUACCUUCUAGCUAAGCCUGUAAAUUUUUUAAAAUUUAAUAUCUGAUAUUUAUGAUAUUACAGAAAAAUAAUGAAAAAUUUAAUAAUUAAAACAUAAAUGAUCCUAAAUAUAAAUAAAGGAUAACCUAAAUCUAUUGAUCUUGAAAGCUCAAUAAAAUUAUUCCUAUUCGAUUCAUCUUACAUAUAUAUUCAUUAAUUACUUUCCCAGUGAUGGUUGUUGUGGUGGUCCCAUUAUCGGUAACGUAUUAGAGAUAAUUCUGAUAUAUCGCGCUACUGAUAUCACCUCCCAUACUUUCAUUUUUAUCUGCUUCAUCUAUCUUACUAGAGAACAUCGCCAUUAAAUCAGUCCUGCUAUCACAUCUUUCCUGCAUUUUUGGAAACCUCUCUCCACCAUUCUUCAAACUUCCGACCUCAUUAUUGCUACCGUAAAUGCUUGGGUCAAGGCCAGCGUAAAGGGACGAUUCAGACAUGCCAUAAUUACCUCCACCUAGGUUGGACAUUGAAUAGCUAGUUUCUCCAACCGUAGGAUAAAUGUAAUGGGGCAGUUGGAUCCAUCAUAACAGUGUAAUCAUUUUCACAAUCAUUAUUUCUUCCGAUCGAUAUAGCAUAUCUAUCGUUGUCUAUUCCGAGACCAAAUACCACUAGAACUAGCACCAUUGAUAUCCAUACACAUCCGUUUAUUUGGCGAUUGUUGCGCAAGUGGGGUUGUCUUUGUUGUUGUGGUUGAUGUGCAUGUUGCGGUUGUUGCGUUUGCUGUGAUGGGGAGUUAUUUAGUCUCUCUCCUUCUGACUCUCGAUACUUCUCCAGAUAAAUCUAAUGGAACAAAAUACAUUCGAAAAGAGAUUUAAUUAAAAUAAUAUCU